AAUGAACGCUGGCGGCGCGCCUAAUACAUGCAAGUCGAGCGAGAAGACGUAGCAAUACGUUUGUAAAGCGGCGAACGGGUGAGGAAUACAUGGGUAACCUACCCUCGAGUGGGGAAUAACUAGCCGAAAGGUUAGCUAAUACCGCGUACGCUUCUUGGACUUCGGUUCAGGGAGGAAAGCGAUACCGUGGGUAUCGCGCUCUUGGAUGGGCUCAUGUCCUAUCAGCUUGUUGGUGAGGUAACGGCUCACCAAGGCUUCGACGGGUAGCUGGUCUGAGAGGACGAUCAGCCACACUGGCACUGCGACACGGGCCAGACUCCUACGGGAGGCAGCAGUAAGGAAUAUUGCGCAAUGGGCGAAAGCCUGACGCAGCGACGCCGCGUGGGGGAUGAAGGUCUUCGGAUUGUAAACCCCUUUCGGGAGGGAAGAUGGAAUGGGUAACCCAUUCGGACGGUACCUCCAGAGCAGCCACGGCUAACUUCGUGCCAGCAGCCGCUGUAAG
RNAcentral lists this ribosomal RNA (502 nucleotides) under uncultured bacterium. RNAcentral describes it as "bacterial SSU rRNA". It matches the Rfam family "Bacterial small subunit ribosomal RNA", at positions 29 to 524 of the family's 1533-position model. The record is from RNAcentral.